UGUGCUGUAGGAAUGAUCACAUGUCCCGCU
This 30-nucleotide non-coding RNA is filed under the name Mus musculus (house mouse). The record is from RNAcentral. Lineage: Eukaryota; Metazoa; Chordata; Mammalia; Rodentia; Muridae.